RNAcentral lists this ribosomal RNA (253 nucleotides) under uncultured bacterium. RNAcentral describes it as "partial 16S ribosomal RNA". It matches the Rfam family "Bacterial small subunit ribosomal RNA", at positions 524 to 776 of the family's 1533-position model. The record is from RNAcentral.
UACGAAGGGGGCUAGCGUUGUUCGGAAUUACUGGGCGUAAAGCGCACGUAGGCGGAUCGAUCAGUCAGGGGUGAAAUCCCAGGGCUCAACCCUGGAACUGCCUUUGAUACUGUCGAUCUGGAGUAUGGAAGAGGUGAGUGGAAUUCCGAGUGUAGAGGUGAAAUUCGUAGAUAUUCGGAGGAACACCAGUGGCGAAGGCGGCUCACUGGUCCAUUACCGACGCUGAGGUGCGAAAGCGUGGGGAGCAAACAGG